Cinara cedri is the source of this 206-nucleotide non-coding RNA. The record is from the annotation of a GenBank genome assembly. Lineage: Eukaryota; Metazoa; Arthropoda; Insecta; Hemiptera; Aphididae.
UCCUAAUAGUAACACGUUUUCAACUUGAGUUUAUAUUGUUCUAACGUACGUAUAUACAUAAUAUUGUUAAGUUCAUAAUUUCGUUCAUUUUAAUUUUGUUUUUAGGUUUGUUCAAUAAAACUAGCCAGUUCAAAGGAAGAGGGCGGUUCAACAUUUUCUGGAAAUCCCUUUCCCGAAACACCGGUAUAGUAUUAAUCAAAUGGUUU